Molecule: long non-coding RNA, 372 nt
Organism: Carassius carassius (crucian carp)
Lineage: Eukaryota; Metazoa; Chordata; Actinopteri; Cypriniformes; Cyprinidae
Exons: 3
Source: RefSeq, a predicted model, not a curated record
ACCAUACUGAACUACAUAAAGAACAUGAUCAGGUUUGUUCAGUAUCUGAAGACCCACCUCAACUUGUCUGCAUCAGAUGCUGACUUCUACAGGAAGUGCCAAGCCUACAUCGACCUCCUCGGUUCCCUCAGAAAGCCAGUGGCCUAGUCGAACAGCAAGGUCACUUGUAAAACCAGGUAUGACCGGUUCCUUGAGGGUGAGAAGAGCCUUCAGGAGUGCCAGGCAGUCCUCCGGAAGGCCAAGACUGACAUGCUACUACAGAGUGGGAUGAAAGAAAAAAUUCUGGGGGAAAGGUGUGUGUGGCUGUCAGCGAAACACAAGAAUGCGACAAUGCAGAUCGCUGUGUUUGCCCUGACAAUGGAGGAGGGAGCA